RNAcentral lists this ribosomal RNA (433 nucleotides) under uncultured bacterium. RNAcentral describes it as "bacterial SSU rRNA". It matches the Rfam family "Bacterial small subunit ribosomal RNA", at positions 29 to 501 of the family's 1533-position model. The record is from RNAcentral.
AACGAACGCUGGCGGCAGGCUUAACACAUGCAAGUCGAACGCUCGGAGCAAUCCGGGAGUGGCGGACGGGUGAGUAACGCGUGGGAACGUGCCCUGAGGUAGGGAAUAACUGCGGGAAACUGCAGCUAAUACCCUAUGAGCCCAUAGCAAUAUGGGGAAAGAUUUAUCGCCUUGGGAGCGGCCCGCGUCGGAUUAGCUAGUUGGUGGGUAACGGCCUACCAAGGCUUCGAUCCGUAGCNGGUCUGAGAGGACGAUCAGCCACACUGGGACUGAGACACGGCCCAGACUCCUACGGGAGGCAGCAGUGGGGAAUCUUGCGCAAUGGGCGAAAGCCUGACGCAGCCAUGCCGCGUGAACGAUGAAGGCCUUAGGGUUGUAAAGUUCUUUUGCCGUGACGAUGAUGACGGUAACGGGAGAGUAAGCUCCGGCUAAC